GCUUACACUGGUCAGCACCCGUGUUGUAUCUAUGCUCAAACAUAUUAAAAUCAUCCGGAGACGAGUUUUGUGUUCAUAUAAAUUACAUAACUUUUGAGCCAGCUGAGUGCUUUGUUAACCUGAACUUUAACAGUUGAGUUAUUUAUUGGCUUUGAAUAAUCUAAAGGAACGAUGUCGCAAAACUUGUGUUAUACACCUUGAUUUAGUGAGAGGCUUGUUAAUAGAUUAGCAAUAAUUGUGUAUUCCGUAAUAUAACCGGGGUUGGCCAAGAUACAAGAUAUAAGAUACAAGAUAAAAAUAUAUCUUGUGUAACAUUUGCCGUAAGUUGUUUAACGGGACGGGUCACCAGUCGAUGGCGGUGUUGGGAAACUUUUCUCCAAACGAAGGACGUUGUUUGUAUGAAAUGGAAGUUCGGGCAGAUUGGAUCAAGUGGGACGUGAGGAAUUUCGCCACGGAGGAAUUUCAGCUCCUUGUUCUCAAGGGCAGAGAUGACAAAAACUGUCAGGAUGAAGUAAAAAUGAAAAGAUCUCUGGGGGGAGCUUAAUGAUGGUUUUCUUUAAGUUAAACAGUUGAAAUUGUUCAAUUGAAUUAAUAAGUACUUAUUAAAUUAAAUUAAUAUUUGUAAUCCUAAGAUGAGAUUUAGAUGUAAAGAGUACAUAUGUAUGUCGUAUGACAAAUUUAAAGACAAAAUGCAAUGUUUAAAAAAUGA
Long non-coding RNA from Folsomia candida, 709 nucleotides. RefSeq lists it as uncharacterized. Lineage: Eukaryota; Metazoa; Arthropoda; Collembola; Entomobryomorpha; Isotomidae. The record is from RefSeq and is a predicted model, not a curated record. The transcript has 3 exons.